Odontomachus brunneus is the source of this 955-nucleotide long non-coding RNA. RefSeq lists it as uncharacterized. NCBI's taxonomy places the organism in Eukaryota, Metazoa, Arthropoda, Insecta, Hymenoptera, Formicidae. The record is from RefSeq and is a predicted model, not a curated record. The transcript is spliced from 5 exons.
UUCAUCAGUGCGAGAUUACAAUAUGAUACAUUCCUUAUGAAAAUCUACUUUAGGACUGAAAAUAUACCGUAAAGUUUAAAAAGGAAUAUACUUUAGUAAAUUUGUGCUAUGUUCGAACAAAACUUUAUACAUUUUGGUAAUGUACUAGAAAGAAUACUUUAAAUGAACUAAUCCGUUAAGAGGACAUUUUUUUAUAUGUAGUUAUCAGCUUUCUAUGUUCCAACAACGAAGAAGAGUAGGCUAAUCUUUCAGAUUCCUCCGAUCCUUCAUAUAGAGAAGUUAAGUAGUUCAUGUAAAAAACUGUGUUAAAAUUUCACCUUGAAGACUUUUAGCGGUAUAUUAAAAGCAAACAUUGCACGUCGUAAUACGAAUAGUCCCAUCAUUCGGUAAUCAUCCAAUCUUUUUAUUGACUAAGCGUGAUUAGUUUUCCAUGAUACUCAUAACCUUACAAUAUGUCCAGUAAGCUGUUAUAUGCUAUACUUACCACUAAUCGUGGAAAAUAAUGCGAUAUUUAAUGGAUAAUUGUAUGCAACCAUAUAUACAUUUCGUUUAAGCAUGGUAUUAACAAUUUUUACCCGGAUUAUAGGAUAUAUCCAGGAAUAUAUCAGAAAGUGUUCAGAACGUAUUAAAGCAAAGUGUACAUAUGCUACAUCUCUACAAACACAGGAGAGAAAAACCUAAUAUACAUUUACUAACGAACGCAUUAAAAAGUUUACAUUUUAUUGGCGACUAUGAUUAUACUUGUAUUUAACUUACAAUAAAAUGAGAAAGCUCGGAAGAACAUGCGGACGAUAAAGGAAAAAUUUACAAGAUAAUUAUACAUAAUUCAGUAGAGAAUGAUCGUAGCUAUAUAUAAUACCUAUAAUUAUGGAAUUGCAUGCGACAAAGUGUAAAAUUUUAAGAUAUUAUGUAUGCCGUAAUCAUUCUAUUAUCUCUUAUAUAAUAAGUUUAACGU